This 253-nucleotide ribosomal RNA is filed under the name uncultured bacterium. RNAcentral's name for it is "partial 16S ribosomal RNA". It matches the Rfam family "Bacterial small subunit ribosomal RNA", at positions 524 to 776 of the family's 1533-position model. The record is from RNAcentral.
UACAGAGGUCCCAAGCGUUGUUCGGAUUCACUGGGCGUAAAGGGUGCGUAGGCGGUCGGGUAAGUCUGAUGUGAAAUCUCACAGCUUAACUGUGAAACUGCAUUGGAUACUAUCCGGCUCGAGGAAUGGAGGGGAGACUGGAAUACUUGGUGUAGCAGUGAAAUGCGUAGAUAUCGAGAGGAACACCGGUGGCGAAGGCGAGUCCCUGGAAAACACCUGACACUGAGGCACGAAAGCUAGGGGAGCAAACAGG